GAAUUUUGGACAAUGGGGGAAACCCUGAUCCAGCCACCCCGCGUGUACGAUGAAGGCCUUCGGGUUGUACAGUACUCUUGGCAGAGAAAAAAAGGUAGCUCCUAAUACGAGGUACUGCUGACGGUAUCUGCAGAAUAAGCACCGUCUAACUACGUGCCAGCAGCCGCGGUAAUACGUAGGGUGCAAGCGUUAAUCGGAAUUACUGGGCGUAAAUCGAGUGUAGGCGGUUCGGAAAGAAAGAUGUGAAAUCCCAGGGCUCAACCUUGGAACUGCAUUUUUAACUGCCGAGCUAGAGUAUGUCAGAGGGGGGUAGAAUUCCACGUGUAGCAGUGAAAUGCGUAGAUAUGUGGAGGAAUACCGAUGGCGAAGGCAGCCCCCUGGGAUAAUACUGACGCUCAGACACGAAAGCGUGGGGAGCAAAC
This 422-nucleotide ribosomal RNA is filed under the name uncultured bacterium. RNAcentral describes it as "partial 16S ribosomal RNA". It matches the Rfam family "Bacterial small subunit ribosomal RNA", at positions 359 to 773 of the family's 1533-position model. The record is from RNAcentral.